UUUAUGGAGAGUUUGAUCCUGGCUCAGGAUGAACGCUGGCGGCGUGCCUAAUACAUGCAAGUCGAGCGAACAGACGAGGAGCUUGCUCCUCUGACGU
RNAcentral lists this ribosomal RNA (97 nucleotides) under Staphylococcus epidermidis. RNAcentral describes it as "partial 16S ribosomal RNA". It matches the Rfam family "Bacterial small subunit ribosomal RNA", at positions 1 to 96 of the family's 1533-position model. The record is from RNAcentral. Lineage: Bacteria; Bacillati; Bacillota; Bacilli; Caryophanales; Staphylococcaceae. RNAcentral also lists the same sequence under 1 other name.